RNAcentral lists this ribosomal RNA (465 nucleotides) under uncultured bacterium. RNAcentral's name for it is "bacterial SSU rRNA". It matches the Rfam family "Bacterial small subunit ribosomal RNA", at positions 338 to 795 of the family's 1533-position model. The record is from RNAcentral.
CCUACGGGGGGCUGCAGUAGGGAAUCUUCCGCAAUGGACGAAAGCCUGACGGAGCAACGCCGCGUGAGCGAAGAAGGUCUUCGGAUCGUAAAGCUCUGUUGUUAGGGAAGAACAAGUACGGGAGGAAAUGACCGUACCUUGACGGUACCUGACGAGGAAGCCACGGCUAACUACGUGCCAGCAGCCGCGGUAAUACGUAGGUGGCAAGCGUUGUCCGGAAUUAUUGGGCGUAAAGCGCGCGCAGGCGGUCUUUUAAGUCUGAUGUGAAAUCUUGCGGCUCAACCGCAAGCGGUCAUUGGAAACGGGGAGAGUUGAGUGCAGAAGAGGAAAGCGGAAUUCCACGUGGAGGGGGGAAAGGCGUAGAGAUGUGGAGGAACACCGGGGGCGAAGGGGGCUUUUUGGUCUGUAACUGACGCUGGGGGGCGAAAGCGUGGGGAGCAAACAGGAUUAGAUACCCUAGUAGUC